AUUCUGUUUCAGGGCGAGGUGAAAUUCCUCACUGGCGGUAAUCGGACAGCUGGCGCAAGCCGCGCCAAGCCGAGAGUCCGCGACCCUGCGACGGCGUGCGCCGGCCACCGCCGAGCGCGCCCGGGCAGGCUGACACCGGUGAGACUCCGGGACCAACGGUUAAAGUCCGGAUGGAAGAGGCAGAUA
Molecule: non-coding RNA, 186 nt
Filed under: Gordonibacter pamelaeae
Lineage: Bacteria; Bacillati; Actinomycetota; Coriobacteriia; Eggerthellales; Eggerthellaceae
Also listed under: 1 other name
Description: FMN sequence
Rfam family: FMN riboswitch aptamer (RFN element)
About the family: The RFN element is a highly conserved domain that is found frequently in the 5'-untranslated regions of prokaryotic mRNAs that encode for flavin mononucleotide (FMN) biosynthesis and transport proteins.
Source: RNAcentral